Molecule: long non-coding RNA, 411 nt
Organism: Oxyura jamaicensis (ruddy duck)
Lineage: Eukaryota; Metazoa; Chordata; Aves; Anseriformes; Anatidae
Exons: 2
Source: RefSeq, a predicted model, not a curated record
UGGACCAAGAGGAAAGGCGCCCACCUGCCCUGGUGAUUUCAGAGCUGAGGGCAGCAAGCACCCCUCUCUGUUAGGGGACAGUGUCAGCAGCAAGAGCCGAGGAGCUGGCACCCCCCGCCUGCACAGGACCCUUGCCCAGCCCUGCCCUGGUGCGUGGUGAUGCUGGCUCCCUCUGCCCGUGGGUUUCCAGCCCCAAGGAGCUGCUGGCAGGCUGCCCACGGGCAUUUUGGGUUGGGCUGGGUGUGGGUAGUGCUGGCGGGGCUGUGUGCAUGGGCCGGACCCCUCGGGUCACACCGGGGAUGCCCCGCGGAUGGGGCUCGAGUGUCCGUUGUAGCCCACUCCGUUUCCACACCAAAUGUUUGCCUCCUGCUUCCUGUUUUGUUGAAUAAUUCAUAAUGAGUGAUUAGUGGA